This is a long non-coding RNA of Triticum aestivum (bread wheat), 402 nucleotides long. RefSeq lists it as uncharacterized. The record is from RefSeq and is a predicted model, not a curated record. The transcript has 3 exons. Lineage: Eukaryota; Viridiplantae; Streptophyta; Magnoliopsida; Poales; Poaceae.
UCUCUACUUUGUGCUCCAGAUUUGUUUCCCUACAAUAUGGCGGAUUAAUGUAUAUUCUUCUGAAGUCAUAGUACAUUCAUGGUCUGUAUAUAUGUUUGUAUGCUGCAAACCUGAGUCCGGUUUCAAAGUUUGGCCGCAGCUAGCUUGAUUUGGAGACAUUUCCUGUUAGGAGUUAAACUUUGGUUUGGAGGCAUCGAGCUUUGGCUGUAACUAGCUUUGUUACUUGGUAUACCUCUGUCAGCAUUCAGGAGCCGGGUAGUUGUUGAGCGGGUUGUGGGAGAGGCGGUCGGCGAGCGCGGGCUAGACGGGAAGGUGAUGCUUGCGAUGGCGACCAUGCCGGCGGGCAGGGCAAGGUCGAUUGUGUCCAUCAUGGUGUUUCCGAGGGAGAGCGAGGCAUCUGCC